Molecule: ribosomal RNA, 1041 nt
Filed under: Triticum aestivum (bread wheat)
Lineage: Eukaryota; Viridiplantae; Streptophyta; Magnoliopsida; Poales; Poaceae
Description: partial small subunit ribosomal RNA
Source: RNAcentral
AUGCUAGUUCAUCACACGAUGCAGACUGAUCUGAAUAACAUCAUGGCAUCAUCCUUCUUCUUUUUGAGAGUGGCACUCUUGCCCUGUCCCUGCCAUAAUCUUGGAGGACGGCCUCGACUCGUCGCUACUUUGGUGCAGACUAUGAGAGGCUUGCUUAAAGUCGCUGCUCCAGACGGGCCACGCUUAAGAUGGCUGGAGCCCGCGGCCAACAUGCUUAAGAAGUUCCUUCAUCUCGUGUUCCACUCACGUGGAUGGGUAAGAGCGGUCGACUGUCGAGCAGGGACAAUUGCCGUUAUCAGAGACACACAAGGAAGGGUUGUUGAGCUCCUCAGACCGUUCCAGGGUCAGAAGAUUACCACACUACCUGAGGCUCCUUGCCACAAUGCGGAUGAACUACUCACUGGUGGGCUGGUUCCAGGGGAGGCUGGCGCAUUCAAGUUCUUCCUUCUGUUCAGAGGCAUAGGACAGAUGGAGCAGCUGUCUCUGAAGACAUUCAGUUCUGUUACAGGACUGUGGGAGGUGCAGCAGAUGGGCUCCGCAUUUAUGCUAUCCACAACAUUGGCACCCAGGGCUGUGUUUGCAUCAGGGAGGCAUUAUAUCCUUGAUCAUCAGAAUAUGAAGCUAUUAGUUGUGGACAUCGAGAGCCAUAGGACAGAUACCAUUGCGCUCCCUGCAAACCAGGUCCAGAACAAACUGUGCGAUGAUAACAAUACACUUGCUGUCUCUAGAGGGGGGGAGCUCUACUGGGUUGUGCUGGAUGGAUUCUUCAUCAAGUUCUUGGUGUUGAGUGGUUCCGAGUGGGUCCCAAGAUGGAAGAGGAUGAUACCGGACCAUGUCCCUAGCAACACUCGUCCAGUCCAGCUUGGUGGGCAUGCUGCGAGCAGUGGGGUCGUUCUUAUGAGGUGCUCCCGCCAGGUUUUCGCCAUCGACGUCGAGGACGGCGGUCUGGUAAAGUUCAAGGACUGCCCGGAUGAUAGCGACACUUUUUUCUCAUUCGAGGUGAUUCGUCAUGUCAUUGCCGACCACGUGCGUCGGAUGUAA